UACGUAGGUGGCAAGCGUUGUCCGGAAUUAUUGGGCGUAAAGAGCUCGUAGGCGGCCUGUCGCGUCUGCUGUGAAAGCCCGGGGCUCAACCCCGGGUCUGCAGUGGAUACGGGCAGGCUAGAGUUCGGUAGGGGAGACUGGAAUUCCUGGUGUAGCGGUGAAAUGCGCAGAUAUCAGGAGGAACACCGGUGGCGAAGGCGGGUCUCUGGGCCGAUACUGACGCUGAGGUGCGAAAGCGUGGGGAGCAAACAGG
RNAcentral lists this ribosomal RNA (253 nucleotides) under uncultured bacterium. Its description in RNAcentral is "partial 16S ribosomal RNA". It matches the Rfam family "Bacterial small subunit ribosomal RNA", at positions 524 to 776 of the family's 1533-position model. The record is from RNAcentral.